This 301-nucleotide ribosomal RNA is filed under the name uncultured bacterium. Its description in RNAcentral is "partial 16S ribosomal RNA". It matches the Rfam family "Bacterial small subunit ribosomal RNA", at positions 509 to 807 of the family's 1533-position model. The record is from RNAcentral.
CAGCCGCCGCGGUAAAACAGAGGGUGCGAGCGUUAAUCGGAUUUACUGGGCGUAAAGCGUGCGUAGGCGGCUUCUUAAGUCGGAUGUGAAAUCCCUGAGCUUAACUUAGGAAUUGCAUUCGAUACUGGGAAGCUAGAGUAUGGGAGAGGAUGGUAGAAUUCCAGGUGUAGCGGUGAAAUGCGUAGAGAUCUGGAGGAAUACCGAUGGCGAAGGUAGCCAUCUGGCCUAAUACUGACGCUGAGGUACGAAAGCAUGGGGAGCAAACAGGAUUAGAUACCCGCGUAGUCCCUGUCUCUUAUAC